GGGCUGCAGUAUUUUGACUGUACAAAGGUAGCAUAAUCAAUAGUCUCUUAAUUGGUGACUUGUAUGAAAGAUUGGAUGAGAUAUAUACUGUCUCUUGUUAAUUUAUAGAAAUUAAUUUUUUAGUAAAAAAGCUAAAAUAAUUUUAAAAGACGAGAAGACCCUAUAGAGUUUAAUAAUUUAUUUAAUUAUUAUUAAUAUAUAAUUUUUAAAAUUAAAAUUAAAUAAAUUAUUUUGUUGGGGUGAUAGAAAAAUUAAAUUAACUUUUUUUAAUUAUUUACAUUAAUUUAUGAUUAAAUGAUCCAUUUAUAAUGAUUAAAAGAAAAAAUUACCUUAGGGAUAACAGCGUAAUUUUUUUUUUUAGUUCAAAUAGGAAGAAAAGUUUGCGACCUCGAUGUUGGAUUAA
This 403-nucleotide ribosomal RNA is filed under the name Papilio bootes dealbatus. RNAcentral's name for it is "partial 16S ribosomal RNA". Lineage: Eukaryota; Metazoa; Arthropoda; Insecta; Lepidoptera; Papilionidae. The record is from RNAcentral.